This is a long non-coding RNA of Formica exsecta, 3072 nucleotides long. RefSeq lists it as uncharacterized. The record is from RefSeq and is a predicted model, not a curated record. The transcript is spliced from 6 exons. NCBI's taxonomy places the organism in Eukaryota, Metazoa, Arthropoda, Insecta, Hymenoptera, Formicidae.
AACAUGCUUUCACAUUUUUUUCUAUUAACAGCUAAUGACAAUAAAACUUGCAACGUUUAGAGAAUGGAUGCAGAAUCGCGAGAGUCUGUAUCUCCGUAAUGAUGCAUGUUACCUGUAUGCUGAGGAUGUUGCAGAUAUAUAAUAUUGAUAUCGUAUGAUUUCUCUGAUUACAGCGACAGCGGCAUGGCCGCGGCAGGAGCAACCCUGUCCGAUAGCAGGAGAUUUUUGCAUGAACGGUGGUACCUGCCUAUUUUUCGAGACCGUCGGUGAACCGGCAUGCCGAUGCGCGGAGGGUUUCACGGGUCUACGGUGCGAGACGAAGGACGUCAUCAGCACCGGAAAUAUGGAUAAGUUUUCUUCGUUCGCCGAGGACGUGACGCUCGCCCGCUUCUAGCGCAUCUAGCGGCACUGUCAAGCUUGCACAUCGGGACAUUCAUCGUGUUUUGUUUUGUUGUAGCCUCACCCACUCAUCCCCUAUCCCCGUACAGGUUCCUGCAUCCGCGACUUCGCCCUCUCCGCCGCCCCUUCGGGCACUUCUCCUUCCACUGUGUCAUCGCUAUCCGCGGAUCUGUCGCGUAGCCAUCUCGAGCACUCGUCGCUGCUCGCCCUUCGUCAUUUUUCCCCGAUUUCGCUCCCUCGAAUCAUCCUCCUUUCAUUCGUCAUCCCUCUCGUCCUCUCUUUCCUUACAUUUCGCCCAUUGUCCACCGUCAUUCCCGCGACAUCGACUCGCUCCGAGACGACGACGCUGGCCAUCGUCAAGAACCACCAUCGUUUCUCAAAGAAGAGCCUCGGGGGACGAAGCGAGCCGCCGACCAACGUCAUCCUCGCGCAUACCGCAUCCUGGACCAUCGUGAGUCGAAGUUUCGCGAGCUAGCCUAAACGAAAGUUAUCGCGCUGAGCGUCCUUUUCCGCGGGAUAAAGGUCCGGAAAAGCGGCAAGAAGAAAAGUUUCAAUCCUACACCCGGAACUGUCUUCAUCCUGGAUCGCGACAAAGACUGUCACAUCAUAGCAGCACUCGCACAUUGCUCGGAGGAAAUCCCGGCCUCCUCCAAACGGGAUUAGAAAACUUCCAACGACGCACCUCGCCACUUCGUCCGCAAGAGAAUUUCAACCCUCCGUUCGACGAGAAGGAAUCACGAGACGCGAAAACGACGCGAAUAAAUGUGGAAGAAAGUAUUACUAACAACUCGCUCUGCCAUUUAUUAUAAUCUAUUGUUUUUUGGUUGAAAUUUUUUCGCAGGGAUAUUAUUAUCUCGUUACAAAUCGUAAGUACAAACUUGUUGAUCGUAAUAUCGUUAUAUUAAAAAAAUGAGCGCUAUAAUCAUUGAGGAUAUAUCCGUGUAUGUAUUUUCUGCUAAAUUAGCUUUCUUGAUUCCUCGGUUAUACUGGUAAAAUUAUUCUAAACUAUUUUAACAAUAUCUGAUUAAUACGACAACAAAAUAUUUUUUGUGGAAUAUUUCCUGGUUAAUAGAUAAUAUUUUUACUCGCGAUUUUUAAAAGAAUUUUUGGACUGCUUUUUCAAUCAGGACAAUACUUUUAAAAAAUACACACAACAAUUUCUAAUCCUCGUUAUUUUCUUCCACAAAAAUGACAUUCGAAGCUCGAUAAAUAAAUCAUCUUACGUUGUAGAGCCGAUUGACUUUAGUCAAUGCCGAAAUAUCGCGAUUGCAAAAGCGCUUGUGAUUUCUGCUAGGAUGGAAGGAAAAAUGUAUCACAAAAUGGAUCUCGAAUCAUUCCGUUUCCAGUGAGGUUUGUACGGGGAAAACGAGGGAAUAAGAGAGGAAGAAAGCCGUCGUAAAACUAUACCAUAGGGCACGUGCAGAUCGACGUACUACCGCGGGCAUGUCGUGAUAUCAUUUUACGGGAUUGCGCAGGAAGAGGGAACCCGCGAGGAUGAUCCUGAGUACUGUAAUAGGAUUUCCAGGAUCAGAGUUUUACGCAGGAGGGACCGCGGUAUCUUCCGGGCACCAAGUAACGGGUAACGCGGGACGUACAACUUCUACAAACAGGACGCGGCGCUUUAAUUAGCGGAGUGUCCUACAAUUACAUAAGCUGCUACAGCAAAAUUUUAACUAGGCAACUCUCUCUGGGAUACUUUAGUCAAUAAUGCAAAACGAGAUAACUAAUCUCAUACUGUUAAUUACACGCAUACGCAACAUUCUCGUAAAGUGUUAUUCAAAGAAAUUCUCAAUUAAGCUAUUUGAAACUAUCCCAUAUACAUUUCUGUUUUUCCUACUACCUUUACGUUUGUAAUUUUUAUUUAAAAAUGAAAUAUAUUUUUUACCUUUUUUUUAUUUAUGUCAAAUUUUCUUUUAAAUUCUUAUUAAUGUUAAGUUAUUUUGAGUUGUUGUUCAUAUACUUUACUUAAAUUACGCUUAUAUAUUAUUCCUUUAAUUUAUUAUUCGUAUUAUAUAUAUUUUGCGUUCCAUAAAUAAUAUAUUCUAAAUUCAUGUUGCGUGUAAAAAGACUAAAAAUUUGGAUUUUUUGUUAUAUUUGCGAGUAUCAUAUUUCUUAUUUAUUUCUAACACAUAUUUUCUUUAAAUUAUUUUCCUCAGAAUUAAAUUAUUUUAUUUAACUUUAAUUACGAACGUAAGUCAAAUCUCAAGAAUAGACAGUACAAUCAUAAAAAUCGAUACUAAAAUUAUUCGUGAAGAUACUAGAACGGUUAAAAAACGAAAAUUUCGUUAUACAGCCCGGAAGAUAUGUCGCAACCGUUUUGUAUGCUAAGAGAGGAUUCAGUUAGUCAGCCGCGAAAAGGCGCUCCGCGAUUUCCGAAGAAAAUUCCGGCCUCAAUGAUGCGUUCAGGACGCUCUUAUUGUACAAAGUAACCCCUCGUACCCCCUUUUUAGGCGCCUGCGCCGCAGUGCGUUGGCUCUCGAACGAUCGAAAUACCGAACUUUUCCCGCUCAUGAAGCGAGAAACGCGAAGAGCGAGUAGGAGAUGACACGGUAAAAUUAUACGACGAUGAUGUCGUUUGCACUACGUAUUUUUCAAUACAACAAAAACGAAUUCACUUUAAUUAAGGGAAAUUCAUAAUAAACCUCGGCAUAAAAAUAGCUUUCUGCUACCAGA